Molecule: ribosomal RNA, 229 nt
Filed under: uncultured bacterium
Lineage: Bacteria
Description: partial 16S ribosomal RNA
Rfam family: Bacterial small subunit ribosomal RNA
Source: RNAcentral
UGCGUAGGCGGAAUAUUAAGUCAGUGGUGAAAUCUUUCGGCUCAACCGGGAAACUGCCAUUGAUACUGUUUAUCUUGAGUUCGGUAGAGGUAGGCGGAAUGUGUAAUGUAGCGGUGAAAUGCUUAGAUACUACACAGAACACCAAUUGCGUAGGCAGCUUACUAUGCCGACACUGACGCUGAGGCACGAAAGCGUGGGGAGCGAACAGGAUUAGAUACCCUGGUAGUCC